Plutella xylostella (diamondback moth) is the source of this 853-nucleotide long non-coding RNA. RefSeq lists it as uncharacterized. The record is from RefSeq and is a predicted model, not a curated record. NCBI's taxonomy places the organism in Eukaryota, Metazoa, Arthropoda, Insecta, Lepidoptera, Plutellidae.
GGUUCCUGGGGCGCGAUUCACAUCUCAACCGAAAUAUUUGUAAAGCGAUACGAACGAGUUACGAGAUGAAAUCCGCAAUGUUUAAAAACGCGAUUCAUAGCACACAUACUUUGAUCUCGUUUUCAUAUCGCUAGUUCGUAUUUGGAUGGCUUGAGUGAAAUGAAUGAAACUAUAUUUUUUUUAAUUGCCAUGCAAAAAUUAUAAAUACUACCACUAAUUGUUUUAAAUAAUUUUGUUCCUACAAUAUAUUUUGUUGGAAUUAGUGUCGAUAGCAAGUAUCAAGAAACAGCUUUUUAAUUCAACGUUGAAGAAAUUCAUAACCUGUGGCACUUUUGACAGCCGCCAUGUUUUCUCCAUAAAAACAUUGAUUUUCUUUGCUCAUUUUCGUGUCAACGUAGUUUUUUUGGAAAAUAAGAAGAAAGGAAGUUUAACUUACUUAGAGAAAUACGACUGAGACAUAAACACAAGCAGCAGCCGAUGUGCUUGAGUUGCAGAAGGAGCAACUGCGUUGUGAGAGGGCCACGGCUUCAGCCCUCACAAUGAUAGCUGAUUAGCUGAAGUAAUGAACAGACAGGCUGCAGUCAAUGAGAGGCUUCUUGAGGAGGUGUUCCUCAUAUGGAAAUGAUUUUAGCGGCGACGCAGUUGCGCGACCAGUGAAGCUCUGGCUCCGCGACCGGCGUGGAGCGCGCGGUCAGCGCGGCGCUGCUGCGGCUGCUGCGCGGGAGGAUCCCGUCCCUGCGCAUGCGCCUGGCCUUCAAUGACCUCACGCCUCUCUUCUUCCUCUUCUUCAUGCGUCAAUUCAAACAGAGGAGCACCUGUGAUUACUGAUUACCUAAGUUCCUAUAUACAAUAA